GACAAACGCUGGCGGCAUGCCUAACACAUGCAAGUCGAACGGACAGAACAGGGACGCUUUUCGGAGUGGAACUGGACAGAUAGUGGCGGAUGGGUGAGUAACGCGUGGACAAACUAGCUUGUAAAGUGGAAUAACCUCGAGAAAUCGAAGCUAAUACCCCAUAAUAACCUUGCUUCGCAUGAAGUAAGGAGGAAAGGCGGCCUUAGCGCUGUAGAUACGAUAUGGGUCCGCGUGUGAUUAGCUAGGUGGUGAGGUAAAGGCUCACCAAGGCCGCGAUCAGUAGCCGGCCUUGGAGGGGGAACGGCCACAUUGGGGCCUAGACACGGCCCAAACUCCUGAGGGAGGCAGCAGUGGGGAAUCUUUCGCAAUGGGCGGAAGCCUGACGGAGCAAUGGCGGGGGAGGGAAAGAGGCCUUCGGGUUGUAAAACUCUGGCCGUAUCGAAGAGAGAGUUUUGUAGGAAUUGACAAUCGUAGGACGGUAGAUGAGGAGGAAGCCCCGGCUAACUAUGUG
Molecule: ribosomal RNA, 511 nt
Filed under: uncultured bacterium
Lineage: Bacteria
Description: partial 16S ribosomal RNA
Rfam family: Bacterial small subunit ribosomal RNA
Source: RNAcentral